GAUGAACGCUGGCGGCGUGCCUAAUACAUGCAAGUCGGGCGAACGGACGAGAAGCUUGCUUCUCUGAUGUUAGCGGCGGACGGGUGAGUAACACGUGGAUAACCUACCUAUAAGACUGGGAUAACUUCGGGAAACCGGAGCUAAUACCGGAUGAUAUUUUGAACCGCAUGGUUCAAAAGUGAAAGACGGUCUUGCUGUCACUUAUAGAUGGAUCCGCGCUGCAUUAGCUAGUUGGUAAGGUAACGGCUUACCAAGGCAACGAUGCAUAGCCGACCCGAGAGGGUGAUCGGCCACACUGGAACUGAGACACGGUCCAGACUCCUACGGGAGGCAGCAGUAGGGAAUCUUCCGCAAUGGGCGGAAGCCUGACGGAGCAACGCCGCGUGAGUGAUGAAGGUCUUCGGAUCGUAAAACUCUGUUAUUAGGGAAGAACAUAUGUGUAAGUAACUGUGCACAUCUUGACGGUACCUAAUCAGAAAGCCACGGCUAACUACGUG
RNAcentral lists this ribosomal RNA (497 nucleotides) under uncultured bacterium. RNAcentral describes it as "partial 16S ribosomal RNA". It matches the Rfam family "Bacterial small subunit ribosomal RNA", at positions 28 to 507 of the family's 1533-position model. The record is from RNAcentral.